Molecule: ribosomal RNA, 508 nt
Filed under: Acutuncus sp. PC-2013
Lineage: Eukaryota; Metazoa; Tardigrada; Eutardigrada; Parachela; Hypsibiidae
Description: SSU rRNA
Rfam family: Eukaryotic small subunit ribosomal RNA
Source: RNAcentral
CUCGUGGAGCGGAUGCAKUUAUUUGCCCAAAACCAAUCCGGCUUUCGAGUCGGUCAAUUGGUGACUCUGAAUAACCGAAGCGGAGCGCAUGGUCUCGUACCGGCGCCAGAUCUUUCAAGUGUCUGACUUAUCAGCUUGUUGUUAGGUUAUGUUCCUAACAAGGCAUCAACGGGUAACGGAGUGUCAGGGCCCGACACCGGAGAGGGAGCCWGAGAAACGGCUACCACAUCCAAGGAAGGCAGCAGGCWCGCAAAUUACCCACUCCCGGCASGGGGAGGUAKUGACGAAAAAUAACGAUGCGAGAGCUUUAUGCUCCUCGUAAUCGGAAUGGGUACACUUUAAAUCCUUUAACGAGGYUCUAUUGRAGGGCAAGUCUGGUGCCAGCAGCCGCGGUAAUUCCAGCUCCAAUAGCGUAUAUUAAAGUUGCUGCGGUUAAAAAGCUCGUAGUUGGAUCUGGGUAGUCGAUGGACGGUGCGCUUUACGGCGUCYACUGUUCGUUCGGCACCAC